AAAUAUUACAAAGCAACAUUCUAGAAUCUACUGGUGUAUAGUUGCUGUAUAAUUCAUCCUUUUGACUCUAAUGCUCAAGGUGACCUAGAGUUUGAUUGUCAACCCUAAUUUAGUCAACCACAUUGUAUUUCAAUCUUUCAAAUCCAUUACAUGGAUUAUUCUAACCAAGAUUUUACUAAAUUGAAAUACAAUGAUGUAUAUCUCCUACUAAUUCAAAGGGGUCAAUUCCAUCUUGACUCACACACCGACUUGAUAAGUACUUGACUGCACCC
This 272-nucleotide long non-coding RNA is filed under the name Elaeis guineensis (African oil palm). RNAcentral's name for it is "long non-coding RNA (EGUI_LNC071997)". The record is from RNAcentral. Lineage: Eukaryota; Viridiplantae; Streptophyta; Magnoliopsida; Arecales; Arecaceae.